AUGGCUUGAUCUCUCCGACGCCCGCCGCUUCGCCCAGUCGCCGGUCGCGACAGGAUGGAUUCCCGCGCCCUCCUCCCCAAUCGCAGCGGAAACCCCUCUGCAACCCUUUCUGCCUCGCCUCGUCUCGCUCGCACCCUCGCCGGCCGCACCAAGGUGCCCCGUCACUGCCGUGGCAGAGUUUUGCCACUGCUGCGUCAGACCGCCUCGCAACGCACGCCCA
RNAcentral lists this long non-coding RNA (220 nucleotides) under Setaria italica (foxtail millet). Its description in RNAcentral is "long non-coding RNA (SITA_LNC005236)". The record is from RNAcentral. Lineage: Eukaryota; Viridiplantae; Streptophyta; Magnoliopsida; Poales; Poaceae.